GACGAACCGUGCGACCGUUGUUCGGAAUCACUGGGCUUAAAGGGCGCGUAGGCGGCUUGCCAAGUCGGGGGUGAAAUCCGGCAGCUUAACUGUCGAAGUGCCUUCGAUACUGGCAAGCUCGAGGGAGGUAGGGGUCUGUGGAACUUCUGGUGGAGCGGUGAAAUGCGUUGAUAUCAGAAGGAACGCCGGUGGCGAAAGCGACGGACUGGACCUCUUCUGACGCUGAGGCGCGAAAGCUAGGGGAGCAAACGGG
This 253-nucleotide ribosomal RNA is filed under the name uncultured bacterium. RNAcentral's name for it is "partial 16S ribosomal RNA". It matches the Rfam family "Bacterial small subunit ribosomal RNA", at positions 524 to 776 of the family's 1533-position model. The record is from RNAcentral.